This 924-nucleotide ribosomal RNA is filed under the name uncultured archaeon. Its description in RNAcentral is "bacterial SSU rRNA". It matches the Rfam family "Archaeal small subunit ribosomal RNA", at positions 1 to 922 of the family's 1478-position model. The record is from RNAcentral.
UUCCGGUUGAUCCUGCCGGAGGCCACUGCUAUGGGGGUCCGACUAAGCCAUGCGAGUCAUGGGGCGCCUCGCGCGCACCGGCGGACGGCUCAGUAACACGUCGGUAACCUACCCUCGGGAGGGGGAUAACCCCGGGAAACUGGGGCUAAUCCCCCAUAGGCCUGAGGUACUGGAAGGUCCUCAGGCCGAAAGGGGCUUUUGCCCGCCCGAGGAUGGGCCGGCGGCCGAUUAGGUAGUUGGUGGGGUAACGGCCCACCAAGCCGAUGAUCGGUACGGGCCAUGAGAGUGGGAGCCCGGAGAUGGACACUGAGACACGGGUCCAGGCCCUACGGGGCGCAGCAGGCGCGAAACCUCCGCAAUGCGGGCAACCGCGACGGGGGGACCCCCAGUGCCGUGGCAUCGCCACGGCUUUUCCGGAGUGUAAAGAGCUCCGGGAAUAAGGGCUGGGCAAGGCCGGUGGCAGCCGCCGCGGUAAUACCGGCGGCCCGAGUGGUGGCUGCUAUUAUUGGGCCUAAAGCGUCCGUAGCCGGGCCCGUAAGUCCCUGGCGAAAUCCCACGGCUCAACCGUGGGGCUUGCUGGGGAUACUGCGGGCCUUGGGACCGGGAGAGGCCGGGGGUACCCCUGGGGCAGGGGUGAAAUCCUAUAAUCCCAGGGGGACCGCCAGUGGCGAAGGCGCCCGGCUGGAACGGGUCCGACGGUGAGGGACGAAGGCCAGGGGAGCGAACCGGAUUAGAUACCCGGGUAGUCCUGGCUGUAAAGGAUGCGGGCUAGGUGUCGGGCGAGCUUCGGGCUCGCCCGGUGCCGAAGGGAAGCCGUUAAGCCCGCCGCCUGGGGAGUACGGCCGCAAGGCUGAAACUUAAAGGAAUUGGCGGGGGAGCACUACAAGGGGUGGAGCGUGCGGUUUAAUUGGAUUCAACGCCGGG